Molecule: long non-coding RNA, 1849 nt
Organism: Ziziphus jujuba (common jujube)
Lineage: Eukaryota; Viridiplantae; Streptophyta; Magnoliopsida; Rosales; Rhamnaceae
Exons: 3
Source: RefSeq, a predicted model, not a curated record
CAGAUAUUUCCUUCACCAAUUCCAAGGUCUUCCUUGCUGCCCAUGUAUAUGAUAAAUACUAGAUCAUUUUAGAAGCCUUAAGUCAUUACUAAUAUUAAUUCUUCGUACCAUUAAUGUUUACUAUCCUUAAGCCGUUUUUCAUAUGUUAACCACUUUUAAUUUUCUCUUAUCUUGCAGAUCAUAUUCGUAAAAUAAGCGAAGAUGAUGCCCUAAAGAAUAACACAUCGUUAUAUAAAUAUUAUUGGGAUCCUAAAUAUGGAAAGAAGUCAGCCACCAUUAAGAGAACUGUUCUUAAAUAGAUAAAGUGAAGAUCAAGAAAGGAUAAAAAUCGCUCUGACGAUGAGGACCAAAUUAGUUGCUGACUAGCUAGCUCCAUAAAUGGGAUGCACGGUUGGAAGCAACUGGAAGAAGUAUUGUAGUGCAUGCACCCAAUGACAAGGUUAUUUUGCAAUUUGUGCUGAGAAUAAUGUAGGACUUGUUUUGUUUAAUUCUAAUGCUUAGAAGUAUAUCUAUUAACUAAUUUUUCAGAAGACAUUUCCUUAGUCAAGACCACAGGGGAUAUGAUUCUGCAUUAGAGAGAAAGGCCACUUUGCUUGUGCUACUGAAGAAGUUGAUUCCUAGCUAGUUCUACAACUAAACCAACUUUGGUGAAAAUCUCUUUUGAUCAUUCAUUUAUUCCUGGUAUAUAAGCUUUGAGCAAGUUCUUUACGUAUAACCUGUAAAAGUAGAUUUUAAAAACUUUGAUGGUUCUGAGAUGCCACAUCGAUUUUCUGUCACUUUGUUUUCUAUAAGUCGUGCAAAAAGCUUACAUUUUCAUGUAAAUAUAGUUUGUUGCUAAAUUUGUAGAAUUUUGCGUCUACAUCUGCUCCAUUCUUCUGCUAAAUAAAUUUAUUCGAUUAAUGCAGUUCAUGAGUGAUAUUCUCAGUUUGGCUUUUGCUACUGUAAAUCCUAGCAAAGUAAUACACUGCCAUGACUCGUAAAUGGGUGGCUUCUGCUGCUUGAUUACCGUCUGGCAAAGCAACAAAGGACUACUCCAAUAUGAGAAUGAUUGAAUCCAUGUUCUGUACAUCAUAUUUUUUGGGUGUGCUUUGAAAAAUAAGGUGUUCAUAUUAAUACAAAGUCUUAACAAGGGUUGCUAUGUUUGUAAUAAGUCUAACCAAAAUCUAAAAAGCUAUUGAAGUAGGUGAGACAGAGUAACAGAUGAUGAACAUAAUCCACAUUGAACGACCAGUGAAGGGCAGAUCGUUGCUCAGAACAUGGUGAAGGAAUGCGGGGUCAUGAUUUAAAGAUGCACGGACAGCAUAUUGAUUACCCUCUCUUGUCUCUACUUCUCUACGCAUUUUGUAGAAUUCUGAAUGUGUCAUAUUCAAAGUGCUUGAAGCAACUUUAUUUUGUUUCUUAACUACUAUUUUCAAGUGCUUUAUUACCUUACAAUACUUGUUUCUGAAGAGGAAAUUCAUCCAUUAUAUCCCCUUUUUUUCUAGUCAUAUUUAUAAGGAUACAACUAUAAAAUUUGUGAUUACCGCACGCUAAGCCUAUAGAAGAAAAUCGCCAUUUACAGUAAGAAGGAUGAUUGCAGUUUUUUUUUUCUUUUUUUUUUUUUUUUUUUUUUUUGGUUCCCUGGUUGUAGGUGAAUCAACAUCAACCUCACAGGAAUUCCCAGGCUAGACUAGGUUUUCAGAUUACCUUAUGGUUUUGGUCUUUUAUUUAGGAAGGGCAAAGAUAUAUAAUUUGUUUCUAAACUAUUUUACAAUGCACAACGUAAUCUAUCUAUGAAAACUUUGUGCAAUAUUACGAAACAGAUAGACAGAAGAAGAAACCCUCAUUAGAUUAAGAAAAAAUAAAUAAA